AUCAUGCAUUUUUCUUGUUGUAUAACACCAUCCAUUUGAGGAUCCAUUUUUGUUCUGAGCGUCCUCCAUUUUCUUGUUCUAUUCCCAGGAGGAAGGCACAUUAUAAAGAUUCAACUAUUUUAGGAUCUGCUACACAUUUUAUGCAAGAGCUAGGACGAGAUGAUGUGACACGCCGGAUGAAAAUCGAACAUAUCUGCUAAUUUCUAGGAGACAUAAAUAAUUGUUGUUUGAGAUAUUUUUGUUUGGCAUAUAAAUUUGUAUUUGGCUAUAACGUUCUAUGAUGCAUAUUAGCUUUUGUUAUUACCCGCAAAAAAAAAGCUUUUGUUUUGGAUAAAUGUAUUGAAGUUCUUCCAAAAAAGAAUGCAAAUAUCUGUCGAAGUACUUUGGAGUAUUGAUCAUAGAUAUUUUAGGUUUCGGAAAUUUAUGUAUGGCAAAUAUUAAUUUUGAUCAAGAUAAUAUAUCUCCUGUGAUGCCUUUUUGCUCCACCUGUUGUUGUGCAACAUUGGUAUUUAGCUAGACCGUAUGUGUCCAAACAGCUUCCUGUGAGGUAAUGAAAUUAGAGCCUAAGUGGAAUUGAGAGGAUUCAUCCCUAGGGGAUUGGGUGACAAGCAGGGAUCAACCUAAUCCCCUAGUGGAAUAGUUCCACUUGGGGAUUAGUUCCCCUACGACCAAACAAGGCCUUAGUGAUUUCCCCCUUCACUCAGAAUUCACAGGGAUAGAUAGGUCUGAUUCGUGCGGGCACAAGGAUAGGGAAGGACAUUGAUGAAGAAGCUUGUUGAUGAUAACCUGAGGCUGCAGAAGAUGAUCAUUGAUAAGGACAAGGAGAUAGGUUUGAUGAAGGAACAGAGGAAGAGAAGCAACAGAACAAGAAAACGAACUGAAUGAAACUAUUUUGUGUGUUUGGGGUUUGUGCUGUUCCUGUCAUGUAUGCUGUGGUGGCUUUACUCGGUAGUAGAUUCGUUUGAAUGUUGGUCGGUAGAAGUGAAAGUUGUUAUGUCGUGAACAAAUUAUUGCCAGAAUACAAUUUGCAUCUUUUGUGUACCA
Molecule: non-coding RNA, 1044 nt
Organism: Aegilops tauschii subsp. strangulata
Lineage: Eukaryota; Viridiplantae; Streptophyta; Magnoliopsida; Poales; Poaceae
Source: RefSeq, a predicted model, not a curated record